AGACGGAGGGUGCUAGCGUUGUUCGGAAUUACUGGGCGUAAAGCGUACGUAGGCGGUUCGUUAAGUUAGAUGUGAAAGCCCCGGGCUUAACCUGGGAACUGCGUUUAAAACUGGCGAACUCGAGUUGAGUAGAGGGGAGUGGAAUUUCAGGUGUAGCGGUGAAAUGCGUAGAGAUCUGAAGGAACACCAGUGGCGAAGGCGGCUCCCUGGACUCAAACUGACGCUGAGGUACGAAAGCGUGGGUAGCAAACGGGAUUAGAAACCCUAGUAGUCC
Molecule: ribosomal RNA, 274 nt
Filed under: uncultured bacterium
Lineage: Bacteria
Description: partial 16S ribosomal RNA
Rfam family: Bacterial small subunit ribosomal RNA
Source: RNAcentral